Molecule: non-coding RNA, 46 nt
Organism: Picea glauca (white spruce)
Lineage: Eukaryota; Viridiplantae; Streptophyta; Pinopsida; Pinales; Pinaceae
Source: Rfam
AAAAUGGUGUUUUUAAACACCACCCAAUAAUUCUCAGAAAUAUGGG